RNAcentral lists this ribosomal RNA (571 nucleotides) under Meyerozyma guilliermondii. RNAcentral's name for it is "eukaryotic LSU rRNA". The stretch from base 178 to 331 matches the Rfam family "5.8S ribosomal RNA". The record is from RNAcentral. Lineage: Eukaryota; Fungi; Ascomycota; Pichiomycetes; Serinales; Debaryomycetaceae.
GAUCAUUACAGUAUUCUUUUGCCAGCGCUUAACUGCGCGGCGAAAAACCUUACACACAGUGUCUUUUUGAUACAGAACUCUUGCUUUGGUUUGGCCUAGAGAUAGGUUGGGCCAGAGGUUUAACAAAACACAAUUUAAUUAUUUUUACAGUUAGUCAAAUUUUGAAUUAAUCUUCAAAACUUUCAACAACGGAUCUCUUGGUUCUCGCAUCGAUGAAGAACGCAGCGAAAUGCGAUAAGUAAUAUGAAUUGCAGAUUUUCGUGAAUCAUCGAAUCUUUGAACGCACAUUGCGCCCUCUGGUAUUCCAGAGGGCAUGCCUGUUUGAGCGUCAUUUCUCUCUCAAACCCCCGGGUUUGGUAUUGAGUGAUACUCUUAGUCGGACUAGGCGUUUGCUUGAAAAGUAUUGGCAUGGGUAGUACUAGAUAGUGCUGUCGACCUCUCAAUGUAUUAGGUUUAUCCAACUCGUUGAAUGGUGUGGCGGGAUAUUUCUGGUAUUGUUGGCCUGGCCUUACAACAACCAAACAAGUUUGCCCUCAAAUCAGGUAGGAAUACCCAAUGAACUUAAGCAUAU